UUCCUUUUAGUUCCUCAACAAAUGAGCAGCAAUGUGGCUGCCUAGGACAGUGCCUCAGGCUCCCUGUUUGGGGAAGGACAGGAGCUCUGAGCAGGAUGCUGGGGAUGUCCCUGGACACCACGGCCACUGACAAGAAACCACCUACUGUUUCUGUAGUCUUUGUGGCUCAGUCUUGCUCUCCUGAGAUCAUAGACCAUUCCAGAAGCAACAGUAGAUGCAUGUUUAGAGGUGACUUCUGCUGGGCACCCUGGAAGGACCUGGAAGCCUUACCUCUCUCCACGUGGUGGACCGUUGUCAUUGGAAGAGUUUCAGUAUCACCUGCUGAACACAGAAGAGAACCAGAACAUUUCCUCUCU
Hirundo rustica (Barn swallow) is the source of this 356-nucleotide long non-coding RNA. RefSeq lists it as uncharacterized. NCBI's taxonomy places the organism in Eukaryota, Metazoa, Chordata, Aves, Passeriformes, Hirundinidae. The transcript has 3 exons. The record is from RefSeq and is a predicted model, not a curated record.